UAAGUGCAAUUUUAACAGUACACUGCCUGUUACUAAAUGUUUUGUGAAUUUGUAGAUCCAACCUGUAAGUUGUGUUAAUAAUAACCUGACACAUAACAUUGUACAAAUUAGUCUUAUUUUAGUUCCAAAUACCAAACUUCAAAAUUUCAACAGUAUUAUGCCUGUUACCAAAUGUUUGUGUAACAUUGUGUGUAAUACAAAUGU
Molecule: long non-coding RNA, 204 nt
Organism: Sphaeramia orbicularis (orbiculate cardinalfish)
Lineage: Eukaryota; Metazoa; Chordata; Actinopteri; Kurtiformes; Apogonidae
Exons: 3
Source: RefSeq, a predicted model, not a curated record